UACAGAGGGUGCGAGCGUUGUCCGGAAUUAUUGGGCGUAAAGAGCUCGUAGGCGGUUUGUCGCGUCGACUGUGAAAACCUGGGGCUUAACUCUGGGCCUGCAGUCGAUACGGGCAGACUUGAGUUCGGUAGGGGAGACUGGAAUUCCUGGUGUAGCGGUGAAAUGCGCAGAUAUCAGGAGGAACACCGGUGGCGAAGGCGGAUCUCUGGGCCAUAACUGACGCUGAGGAGCGAAAGCAUGGGGAGCGAACAGG
RNAcentral lists this ribosomal RNA (253 nucleotides) under uncultured bacterium. RNAcentral describes it as "partial 16S ribosomal RNA". It matches the Rfam family "Bacterial small subunit ribosomal RNA", at positions 524 to 776 of the family's 1533-position model. The record is from RNAcentral.